GUCUAUGGCCAUACCACCCUGAAAGUGCCCGAUCUUGUCUGAUCUUGGAAGCUAAGCAGGGUCAGGCCUGGUUAGUACUUGGAUGGGUGAACAGGGAAAAUAGUGAAACUACAACAGACC
This is a ribosomal RNA of Fukomys damarensis (Damara mole-rat), 120 nucleotides long. The record is from Ensembl. NCBI's taxonomy places the organism in Eukaryota, Metazoa, Chordata, Mammalia, Rodentia, Bathyergidae.